UAAGGUCUUACGCAAGGAAAUAGCCAAUCAAAAUGAACUUAGUCAAUUGAAGUUCCAUAUAUAUAGAGAAAUUUUUUUUUUCUUUUUUCAUUUUUGGCAAUUUGUUUUAGGCCUACAGUAUUAAAAUUGGACUCAUGUACUAGGAAUAUCAUUUCUUUAGCAGAAUUAUCCCACUGAAUUAAAAGGAACUCUUUUUUCAGGUGCGCAUGAUGCAACUUCCUGGAUGGUGUGUAGGCUGUUUGUCAACAUGUGAAUCCCACGUGCAUUUCGGGGAGUUGUCUCCCCUUGAAAAGAUCAAUAAUGGCGGAUAAACAAUGCGGCAUGCAGUCUUGUCACCAACGGACAGUUUUGACACCCGUAUACCCAUAUUUCUACCAAAUACCUCUGAAACCUUUGUUGUGUUCAUCACACAGAUGAUGGACCACUCUACUUCCUUUUACAACAGGUGCCCCUACAGAUUCACAAAGUUCUAGUGUUGAGUUUCCAUGACCCCUAUUCAUCCACGACAGGAAAAGGAAUAGAGUUGACAGGACUUCCCGCACUGUCCCUGGUAGCAGUUUAUGAGGGAACCAACCGCAGUAGACAUAGCACGCUUCAUCAAAGAUGCACCAGAUGCAGCGGCACUGUCUCCAUCACUGGUAAAAUGGGAUAUGACUAGAGGCCGGUCAUCACUCUGUAACUCACCAACACAAUUAGCGGCCCAUCUCUUCUCGUCUCCAAUGGUGGUCUCCGGAGGAAUGGUUGCAGUGCAGUCUUCAUGUCCUGGGCAGGUCUGUUGCAUGUUGGCGGCUGACGCAGGUUCAAUAUUUGCACCAAGAAGCAUACCACGCAUACCCUCUGUUGUAAGACUGGUACCCAGGUGACCGACAGCCAUGGCCACAUUCAGCUGUGCAGCUCUUCGUCCCCUUCCAGAUCUUCUCACCUCUUCGUAAAGCUUUUCGCGGUGACUGGUAUAGUGGCACUUCUUACAUCGAAUGGAAAGAAUCCAUGCCAGGCCUCGUUUUUCCUCUCCAUGCUGAUUCCAGUCCAGUGGACCAUCACAGUCAGGAAACUUUUAUUCCAUGUAGGUGUCCACUGGCUGGACCUCACUUGGCCCGGGUCGUAAAAACUUCAUCUCGCUGCUUCGGCUCUUGGCAUCGAUAACUGUAAACACCCCAUUUUUCUGUGGCCGUACCAUGUCCUGAAACUCUUUUUUACUUAGUCUUCUUAUGGGAACUAGAGAUUGGACUGGGCUGGUGGUCCCUAUUUUCUUCUGGCCUUUGUUGUGAGGAAUACUUCCUUUUUUGUAUUGAUGUUGAUGCAACCAUUUUGGUCCUUUCUUUGGCAUGAGCUGCCUGGUCUUCUAAGAGAAACUCCAUUCUUUGAUGACUGAUGGAAAAGCCUCAUCACCCCCCACUGCUUAAGAACCCCUUAUCUUAAUCACCAGCCAUUAAUCAGUGAUCACUGUUAUCAAAGCUCCAAGGUGCGCAUGAUGCAACUUCCUGGAUGGUGUGUAGGCUGUUUGUCAACAUGUGAAUCCCACGUGCAUUUCGGGGUAGGUAUGUUUACUGUCGAUUUUCUUUCUUAAAAGCCGCAUAAGGCAUAUUUUUUCUGAUCUCAAAUUUUUGUUUACGCAUUAAUCUUUAUUUUCUCUUUCAUGAAUUUUCUGCUGAGAGUCUAAUAAAUUAAAUAAUUUAAUUCAAGUUUUAUAGUAAUAUAUAGGGAAAUUAUUUCCUUGUGUGAGACC
Molecule: long non-coding RNA, 1726 nt
Organism: Saccostrea cuccullata (small rock oyster)
Lineage: Eukaryota; Metazoa; Mollusca; Bivalvia; Ostreida; Ostreidae
Exons: 9
Source: RefSeq, a predicted model, not a curated record